AGCUUUAUAUUCAAUAAUGAUAUAAAAUUGCAAAUUUUAAGGUGUUUAUUUAAUAUUCUAAGGCUU
This 66-nucleotide transfer RNA is filed under the name Dichorragia nesimachus. Its description in RNAcentral is "tRNA-Cys". The record is from RNAcentral. Lineage: Eukaryota; Metazoa; Arthropoda; Insecta; Lepidoptera; Nymphalidae.